Molecule: ribosomal RNA, 497 nt
Filed under: uncultured bacterium
Lineage: Bacteria
Description: partial 16S ribosomal RNA
Rfam family: Bacterial small subunit ribosomal RNA
Source: RNAcentral
GACGAACGCUGGCGGCGUGCCUAAUACAUGCAAGUAGAACGCUGAAGCGAGGAGCUUGCUCUUCUUGGAUGAGUUGCGAACGGGUGAGUAACGCGUAGGUAACCUGCCUUGUAGCGGGGGAUAACUAUUGGAAACGAUAGCUAAUACCGCAUAACAAUGGAUGACACAUGUCAUUUAUUUGAAAGGGGCAAUUGCUCCACUACAAGAUGGACCUGCGUUGUAUUAGCUAGUGGGUGAGGUAACGGCUCACCUAGGCGACGAUACAUAGCCGACCUGAGAGGGUGGUCGGCCACACUGGGACUGGGACACCGCCCAGACUCCUACGGGGGGCAGCCGUAGGGAAUCUUCGGCCAUGGGGGCAACCCUUACCGAGCAACGCCGCGUGAGUGAAGAAGGUUUUCGGAUCGUAAAGCUCUGUUGCAAGUCAAGAACGAGUGUGAGAGUGGAAAGUUCACACUGUGACGGUAGCUUACCAGAAAGGGCCGGCUAACUACGUG